This 643-nucleotide ribosomal RNA is filed under the name uncultured bacterium. RNAcentral describes it as "bacterial SSU rRNA". It matches the Rfam family "Bacterial small subunit ribosomal RNA", at positions 232 to 885 of the family's 1533-position model. The record is from RNAcentral.
CGCGGCCUAUCAGCUUGUUGGUGGGGUAAUGGCCUACCAAGGCGACGACGGGUAGCCGGCCUGAGAGGGCGACCGGCCACACUGGGACUGAGACACGGCCCAGACUCCUACGGGAGGCAGCAGUGGGGAAUAUUGCACAAUGGGCGAAAGCCUGAUGCAGCGACGCCGCGUGAGGGAUGACGGCCUUCGGGUUGUAAACCUCUUUCAGCAGGGACGAAGCGUAAGUGACGGUACCUGCAGAAGAAGCGCCGGCCGACCACGUGCCAGCAGCCGCGGUAAGACGUAGGGCGCGAGCGUUGUCCGGAUUUAUUGGGCGUAAAGAGCUCGUAGGCGGCUUGUCGCGUCGACUGUGAAAACCCGCAGCUCAACUGCGGGCCUGCAGUCGAUACGGGCAGGCUAGAGUUCGGUAGGGGAGACUGGAAUUCCUGGUGUAGCGGUGGAAUGCGCAGAUAUCAGGAGGAACACCGGUGGCGAAGGCGGGUCUCUGGGCCGAUACUGACGCUGAGGAGCGAAAGCGUGGGGAGCGAACAGGAUUAGAUACCCUGGUAGUCCACGCUGUAAACGUUGGGCGCUAGGUGUGGGGGACCUCUCCGGUUCUCUGUGCCGCAGCUAACGCAUUAAGCGCCCCGCCUGGGGAGUACGG